RNAcentral lists this ribosomal RNA (482 nucleotides) under uncultured bacterium. Its description in RNAcentral is "partial 16S ribosomal RNA". It matches the Rfam family "Bacterial small subunit ribosomal RNA", at positions 30 to 507 of the family's 1533-position model. The record is from RNAcentral.
AUUGAACGCUGGCGGCAUGCCUUACACAUGCAAGUCGAACGGUAACAGGUCUUCGGAUGCUGACGAGUGGCGCACGGGUGAGUAAUACAUCGGAACGUGCCCAGACGUGGGGGAUGACGAGGCGAAAGCUUUGCUAAUACCGCAUACGAUCUAAGGAUGAAAGCAGGGGACCGCAAGGCCUUGCGCGUUUGGAGCGGCCGAUGGCAGAUUAGGUAGUUGGUGGGAUAAAAGCUUACCAAGCCGACGAUCUGUAGCUGGUCUGAGAGGACGACCAGCCACACUGGGACUGAGACACGGCCCAGACUCCUACGGGAGGCAGCAGUGGGGAAUUUUGGACAAUGGGCGAAAGCCUGAUCCAGCAAUGCCGCGUGCAGGAUGAAGGCCUUCGGGUUGUAAACUGCUUUUGUACGGAACGAAAAGGCUCUGGCUAAUACCUGGGGCACAUGACGGUACCGUAAGAAUAAGCACCGGCUAACUACGUG